AAGAAGGGCCCCAGCUAGGCCCAGUCCAGAGGCCCCAGAUCCUCUCAAUGACCUCUGAGCCAGCCACAGCCCACCCAUCCAGGUUGUUGUGAAGAUUAGAGGAAUGAAUGUGGGUGAAAGCACAUCGAACAGAAAGAAGCUGGCACAAACAGGCAUUCAGACGCAUUUGGAAGCAAACAGCUCUGACAGGUGCCUCCCCAGCUUGCAGACAGUCUGUGGCUUCCCACUGCUUUCAGGAUUUCGCUCGCGCAGACCCCACCCCCGCUGCGUGGUCUGGCCACCUCGUCUCCCACCUCCUCGGCCUCAGGCACCAUCUUCUGCCACCAAGCCAGGCUUCUCCCCUCCCAAGCCGAGCCGCCAGUUCCCUCCUGCCCCUAGGCCUCUGCCUGUGCCCCGCUCAUCUUGGAGUGCUCUUCUCUGGCUGGCACACUCCUCCUCCUCCGCCAAGACCCAGCCUUACAAAGCUCCCUCCGACCCCAAGCAAGAAUUAGAGUCAGCUGGGGGCCUGGGAAGCGGGCGGCCUUAUCCUCCUCCUCCCCACCACCACCACUGUGCCCAGCACUUGGGACAGGGACUUGCUGGUCACUCCCUCCAAAGAAGCUGGUGCCUGGACCCUGAGCCUGUUCUCUGGAGACUCAAACUACUCGCCUUCUGUGGAUCCUGGAAGACCCAUUCCACACCUCCUCGAAGGAAAGUCUUCCCUGGCUGUUUCUCCAGCUGCCGUGCUCCCACCUCCCUUGGUUCAUAUCUCCACCACUGUGUCUCCCCUUGCCUUGUAAUAAUUGGGCUGCUG
RNAcentral lists this long non-coding RNA (793 nucleotides) under Equus caballus (horse). RNAcentral's name for it is "lncRNA (ENSECAG00000059732.1)". Lineage: Eukaryota; Metazoa; Chordata; Mammalia; Perissodactyla; Equidae. The record is from RNAcentral.